CGGCAGCCCAGGGUUCGCCGGUUGGGCUCCCGGGUGCAGACAUGGCACCGCUUGGCUAAGCCAUACUGUGUUACCAAGACUCCCUGGGUGGCAGCAAAAAAGUCAACAAGGAAAUAAAACUCCACCACCUGGCGUAUUAGUUGGGGAUAAAGCUAUACACAGGACAGAAUCAGAACAGCAUGACCAAGAAUCCGCUCUAAAAUGUGAUUUCAAAUGGAGAAGAAUGAAGCAGUUUUUCGGAGACCUGGAAAGCACACAUUGUUUAGGUUGACCCAAAGCCAUCCCCAGGAGUCCAGGGAGUGCCAUACAUGAGAAUGAAGAAGCCUUCAAGAUGACGCUAGCCCUAGCUGCUGCCUGUAACGAUCGAGAACUGGAAGCCAGAAAUGCCCAGAGGGGACUAGCUGAUCCCAGAACCAUAAGAGAUACUAAUAAAUUAUUACUGUUUUAAGCUGCAAUAAAUAAUUAGAACAGAAAGCACAUUGCACAUAAUGUGAUGUAGAACUCAACCCAGGUGAUUCUCCUGCUCACUACUGAGUACAAAUGUGAGCACACAGAGACAAAGUAAUGUCUCACGGGACAGCAGAGUUGGUAGCUGUCUGCUGCUAUGGUUUGAGGGAGACUCAAUGGAACCUCCCUCGGGGGACUGCUCAGGCCCCUGACUGCUCCCAUAGUAAUUGCUUCUUUAGGAUCUGCAACCUGGCACACUUGCAGAAUGUUAGAGACCCACAUCCAGUGGGUUUCAAACUAGGAACAUUUGGGAUUUGGGGAAGGGACUGCCAAGCAGAUAGGGUGCAAAGGAAGCCUGGUGGGUACAGCUUAUUCCUUUCUCUGUUCUCAGGGACAGGGCUUCUUCCCAGCCUCACAGGUGGGACAUGUGAACUAAGUGGCCAAUCAGUGCAAUACUUUCCUCUGGCCCUUGUGAUUGGUGUAGGCUCAGACAUGUGGUUCAUGCCAGGCCAAUCAAAAUGAACGUCAGGACGUUCACAGGGAAUGCUGGGGAAAAGAUGCUCACUCUUUUUCAGUACGUUGGAAUUUAGAAGAAUAUUGUUCUGGGACUUCUAGAAGCCAUCCUGUGAUGAGGAGGGGCAGAGGAUCCUGGGAAUGGAGUAGAAAGAGGGAAACAGAGUGGAGAGGAGACAGAAACAAACAAACAAAACUGACCCUGCUCACUUUGUUUGUACCUCUGUAUCCAGCUAUUCUUGAAGCUGGAUCUUCCUGGACUAUUUUGUAAUGUGAGCCCACAAAUUUAUUUUAUUUUUCUUCUUGAUGUAAGCAAC
This 1277-nucleotide long non-coding RNA is filed under the name Equus caballus (horse). Its description in RNAcentral is "lncRNA (ENSECAG00000054863.1)". Lineage: Eukaryota; Metazoa; Chordata; Mammalia; Perissodactyla; Equidae. The record is from RNAcentral.